GGGGCGGCCCUCCGAGGUCUGGUCGCAGUGGCAGAGCCAGCACCACGGGCAGCAGAGCGGUGAGCAGCACUCCCAUCAGCAGCCUGGCCAGACUGAAGUGUUCCAGGACAUGCUGCCUAUGCCAGGAGACCCAACCCAGGGGACUGGCAACUAUAACAUCGAGGACUUUGCCGACCUAGGCAUGUUCCCACCCUUUUCUGAGUAGCUGUGGGCAGAGCAAGGCUCCCUGUGCAGGGCCACCACCGCGCUGUGACAUCGACACCAGCUUGCCCUGCUGCAGGACCCCACCACAGUGCCCUCACCCCCUGCGCACCCCCAGGCAUGGCGCUACUCGCUCUCACCCACAGCUCUGGCUUCUCUGUUGCUACUGACCAGGGCCCUGCUGGACGUCUGGGGCUUGGUUGUAUUUAUUGCAUUUUAUCUGUGUGUGCUCAGGAGGUGAGCUCUCUGGCCCUCACACUCAGCUAUGAAUAGUCCCUUGUAAGCGUGCAUGUACACCAGGAGGAGUUCACUUGAAACUCAGAGCAGCAGCGGGCCUGCCUGGGACUCUGGAAUGGCUUCUGCUUGCUUUUCACACCUGCUAGCUGGUGGCCUGGGGUGGGAUAAGAGGCAGGGAGAGUCAGGGCCUUUGUCACACCCUGGAGCCGAGGAGUGUGGGGACUUGGGGAUGCCCACUGCCCUGCUGCUGUGCCUGUGGGCCCAUUGUGACGUGGAUGUUUGUGCUUUGUGUGGUGAGACACAUGUGUGUGUUUUGUGUGUUGUGCCUCGUGUCUGUUGUGUGUGGCCAGAGUGGGUCGUAGAAUCCAGACCAUAAGGAGGGUAAGAACGAGAAUACGCACCCCCUGCCCCUCCCAGUGCUCAGCAGUGCCCUCACCAAGAAUGCUGGCCCUUCCACAGUGUCACCAGGAGCCGGGGCUGGGGACCUACUCACUGUGAGGGGUCAGUUAUUUGGUCUGUGCCUCUGCUUCAGAACCAAGCUCCUCCAUGCAAGAGAAGCAGCCUUUCCUCCUCUCAGAGCCCCAGGCAUCAUUUACAUCUCUCACUGACAGCAGGGACAGAAUGCCUGGCCUCCUGGGCCAUGUCCUGGAGUGGACAGGAGCAGCUGUUGUGUGGAGAGGGCACCUGAUGCUCUGUCCCCCAGAGGGACACAGAGAGUGCAGGUCUGUGAGGCAGUGGACUGGGCUCCUCCCACAUAGUCUCUGGGGCCCUGAGUCCUCGGUUUACUCAAAACAGGAGUACUGGCUGACUUCCAGAAGCCUCCGCCUGCUGCCCACUUAGCCCAAGGUCCCUGGCUUACUGUGUUUGGCUUUUAUAGUCCCCUGCAUCCUCCUGCACCUUUCCCAGGUGAGGGCUGUCUCCGUCUCCCUUGUUGGCCUCUUUUCCCACCAGUCACCUUGUUUUCCCACUGCCACCCAUCAGCCCUCUGAUGCCCACGUGGGACAGAGGAGCCCACCCUUGGGAGAGCUGUGGUCCCUCCAAGAGUCCCUGCAGACACUGCACAGCACCGUGUCCUUGCCAAUAGGUCCCAGAGGUCAGGAAAAUGAAUGAAUGGAGGAAGCCCAAGUACAGGGAGGAGUAGGGCCGUUGCUCUGGCCCCCUGGGAGCGCUGCCUGGUGCCCAGGCCUUUUGACCUGUCAAAAGCCAGCCUUCCUCAGCAGGAUGCCCUCCCCUGGGACCUGGCCUUCUGUGGUCCCCAUUCUGAGACCAGCUGAGGGCCAGCCCUGAAGUCUGUAGAAGCAGCUUUUAGUCCUCAUGUAGACAGUGGUAAUCGGGUCCUGGGUGUAGAUGCAUGUGUUUGCUCUGUCCUCAGAGGAGCUCUUGCUGCUGGGGAAAUGGGAGUAACCACGGGCAGCCCCAGCUUGGGCUCCUGGUGCCAACCAGCACCCUCUCAGUGCCUAGCGCUGGGCUUGCUCUGGGCAACAAGCAUAAUCUUUCCCCCCAAAAAAGGCAUAAAAAUAGCUUUAGGAGCAAAGAAGUAUUUCUUGGUGAAAGGGAAAUAGACUUGGUGUGGCCUUUAGCUUGUGAGUUUGGAAGGUUCACUUCUGCCCUCUGCAUGUCAGAGGACAGUUGGGGGCACCAGAGAGCAGCCGACUGUGCUGCUGCCCCUGGUGGUCUGUGCUGGACCCUGAGGGAUCUGUAACCAGCAGAGAAAACCUUGCUCCCACCCACCUCCCAUCUGCUUCUCUGACCUCAGCAGUGAAGGAUUCCUGGUCCUGGGAGGCACGGCAUAAGGAGAGUAGUGAUCACCAACCACCAAGGCCUGACCUCCUCCCUCCCUGUCUUGUCCUGGGAGUUGGGCGUGACCAGAGUGGAGUCUGAUGGGUGGGUAUGAGCCCCAUGUCUUUUCUGUCCCCACUCUGCAUUUCAUUGUGAUUCUCAGAAGCCGUCUUGUAGACAGUAAGAAAGUAGAUGAGGAGUGACAGGGAGAAGCCUAGGACUGGGGCGGAGCUCACCAGGGCAUAAGAACACACCCCUGAACUGGGCUUAGUGACCUGGUUUGGAAAAGAAUCCCCCAUACCCAUCUGGCUGGCCCAGGAGGCCAUGGUGCUGGUGGGCCCUGAUGUCUGCUUGGCCUGCAGCCCGUGCCCAGCCAGGCCCCCUCCCUGCCAGAGACGGGUCAUUGCCAGAUGAGAAAGGGGAGGCAUGGGGCUUCCUGUAGCAGUGAGUUGGUUCCUGUCUCCUGGAUGUUCCCCAGCUUCUCCUCAGGCUGAGGGUCCCACCGUCACUGCCAUCAGCGACAACAUACUGAGGCGCCACCAGGACUGGCCAGUAAUGGUGAUAGUGGCUGGGAAGGUUCUAGAACACGCUGCCUGCAUGUCCCUCUGCUCUGGCUUUGUUGUUAGCUCUGUUCGGGGAGCGAGAGGCCAUCACAGGAGCCACGUUCUCCUUCACUUCCCAACAUAUCAGGUUCAGCCCUCUGGUUACUUCAUUACUAGAGAACAGUGCCGUGGGGAGGGGAGGUGCCAGUCCCUAACAGCUUACACUGGGGUCUGCUGCAUCAGUACAGCGAUUAUGUCCCCAGGUUAGCCACACCUGCCAGUAUCAGUUCUCCAAACAGCUUGGCACAGGAGGAGGCAGGCCCCAGGCAUUGAGGAAGGCUCGCUGUCCCACACACAAGGGCCAGCCAUGAGCUGUGUGCAAACCAUGCCUGCUCACCCAUGAGGGCCAUCUGCUCAUAACAGUUAUCACCUGUCACUUAAACAGGAACCAGCCAGGUGGCCAGUGAUAGAACAUAUGCGCUCUUUGUAUUACUGGAAAGGGGGCUGGUCAGGAUGUUGCUGGUCCGAACCUCUGCUAGGAGUCCAGCUUCCCCAUCCCUACUGGAUCUCAUGCACCAGGAACCAUAAGCACCCUCAUGUCUGCCUGCACCGCUGCCUGGGGUCCAGGGGAACUGGAAGAGGUGCCACACAGGGCAUGCGCACAUUUUCACACCGCACACCUGGGUCUCAUGGCCAGAGCUGCUUUAUGGUCCAGAAACCAGCCAAAGCCCAGGGGCUACCAACUAGCAAAACCCAGGCUUGACAGGCUGGGCAGGAGCAGAGCAGCUUGCUUCAUCUAACAAUCAGUUUUCUUAAAAGAUCUCACAAGCAGGUUUCAGUGAACAACAAGCACUUAAUCAUCUCUCUCUUAACCUUUCUUCUUAUGGAUGUGAACUGUGCUGUGGAUAAGUCAUUGUUUGUAAUUCUUGAAUGUUCUCCAUGACUAACAGUUAUUAAGUCGGUGUGUAUAUGUAUAACUAAUGUAACUGCCUCUGAAAUUUUCAGUAAAAUAAAAAUGACUUUGCUCUGAACCCUAAACCCCCAGGCCGGCUUUAUAAUGGACCUGCUCAUGGAACCUGCCCCUCGGGUUUGGGGACAUCUGGCAUUGCACCCUUCCUUAGGGUCACACUGUGUCAGAGUCACUCAUAGGUAUUAACAGGCCACCUUUGGGACUCUAGUGACCUAGGAUAGAAGAGAAAACACAAUUCCUGAGCUCCUGUGUAAGGCAAGGCUCUUUAGGAAUGUCUUUAC
This is a long non-coding RNA of Heterocephalus glaber (naked mole-rat), 4010 nucleotides long. Lineage: Eukaryota; Metazoa; Chordata; Mammalia; Rodentia; Bathyergidae. The record is from Ensembl.